AUUGAACGCUGGCGGCAUGCUUUACACAUGCAAGUCGAACGGCAGCACGGGCUUCGGCCUGGUGGCGAGUGGCGAACGGGUGAGUAAUAUAUCGGAACGUACCCAGAAGUGGGGGAUAACGUAGCGAAAGUUACGCUAAUACCGCAUACGAUCUAUGGAUGAAAGCAGGGGACCGCAAGGCCUUGUGCUCCUGGAGCGGCCGAUAUCUGAUUAGCUAGUUGGUGAGGUAAAGGCUCACCAAGGCGACGAUCAGUAGCUGGUCUGAGAGGACGACCAGCCACACUGGAACUGAGACACGGUCCAGACUCCUACGGGAGGCAGCAGUGGGGAAUUUUGGACAAUGGGCGCAAGCCUGAUCCAGCAAUGCCGCGUGAGUGAAGAAGGCCCUCGGGUUGUAAAGCUCUUUUGUCAGGGAAGAAACGGUAGAGGCUAAUAUCCUUUGCUAAUGACGGUACCUGAAGAAUAAGCACCGGCUAACUACGUG
RNAcentral lists this ribosomal RNA (484 nucleotides) under uncultured bacterium. Its description in RNAcentral is "partial 16S ribosomal RNA". It matches the Rfam family "Bacterial small subunit ribosomal RNA", at positions 30 to 507 of the family's 1533-position model. The record is from RNAcentral.